RNAcentral lists this ribosomal RNA (468 nucleotides) under uncultured bacterium. RNAcentral describes it as "partial 16S ribosomal RNA". It matches the Rfam family "Bacterial small subunit ribosomal RNA", at positions 28 to 507 of the family's 1533-position model. The record is from RNAcentral.
GACGAACGCUGGCGGCGUGCUUAACACAUGCCAGUCGAACGGAAAGGCCCUGCUUUUGUGGGGUGCUCGAGUGGCGAACGGGUGAGUAACACGUGAGUAACCUGCCCUUGACUUUGGGAUAACUUCAGGAAACUGGGGCUCAUACCGGAUAGGAGCUCCUGCUGCAUGGUGGGGGUUGGAAAGUUUCGGCGGUUGGGGCUGGACUCGCGGCUUAUCAGCUUGUUGGUGGGGUAGUGGCUUACCAAGGCUUUGACGGGUAGCCGGCCUGGGAGGGUGACCGGCCACAAUGGGACUGAGAGACGGCCCAGACUCCUACGGGAGGCAGCAGUGGGGAAUAUUGCACAAUGGGCGGAAGCCUGAUGCAGCAACGCCGCGUGCGUGAUGACGGCCUUCGGGUUGUAAACCGCUUUCGCCUGUGACGAAGCGUGAGUGACGGUAAUGGGUAAGGAAGCAACGGCUAACUACGUG